UAAUUAGAGUCACACUACGGUGUUUUAUAUUA
Molecule: non-coding RNA, 32 nt
Filed under: Mus musculus (house mouse)
Lineage: Eukaryota; Metazoa; Chordata; Mammalia; Rodentia; Muridae
Source: RNAcentral